This 477-nucleotide ribosomal RNA is filed under the name uncultured bacterium. RNAcentral's name for it is "partial 16S ribosomal RNA". It matches the Rfam family "Bacterial small subunit ribosomal RNA", at positions 28 to 507 of the family's 1533-position model. The record is from RNAcentral.
GAUUAACGCUGGCGGCGUGCAUAACACAUGCAAGUCGAACGAUGAAACUUAACUGAUUUCUUCGGAAUGAUUUUAAGUGGAUUAGUGGCGGACGGGUGAGUAACGCGUGAGUAACCUGCCUUGGAGAAGGGGAUAGCCUUUGGAAACGAAGAAUAAUACCCUAUGAUAUGAUACUAUCUCAUGAUAUUAUCAUCAAAGAUUUAUCGCUCUAAGAUGGACUUGCGUCUGAUUAGUUAGUUGGUGAGGUAACAGCUCACCAAGGCAGCGAUCAGUAGCCGGCUUGAGAGAGUGUACGGCAACAUUGGGACUGAGACACGGCCCAGACUCCUACGGGAGGCAGCAGGGGGGAAUUUUGCACAAUGGGGGAAACCCUGAUGCAGCGACGCCGCGUGAUUUAGAAGGCCUUCGGGUUGUAAAAAUCUUUUGUAUGGGAAGAAAAUGACAGUACCAUACGAAUAAGGACCGGCUAAUUACGUG